Molecule: long non-coding RNA, 5131 nt
Filed under: Homo sapiens (human)
Lineage: Eukaryota; Metazoa; Chordata; Mammalia; Primates; Hominidae
Description: HSALNT0162350
Source: RNAcentral
AAUCACCCAGAUCUGCAGUCUACUUUAUGAGACCAAGAUAUCAACUUCUUGUGGCCAUGCUAUGGAGAUUGCACAAUGGACCUAUUGCUUCAAAGGAGAGUCACACAACACUCCCCAGCCACUGUGUUGACAGCCCUGGGCUGGAGGAAAGGCAGCAGUCUUCACAGAGCUCACUUUACGGCUGGGCUCACCCUUCACCCCAAGACAGCUUUGAUCACUGGGAAGUUUCCACAAACACAGAAUGAAUGAGGAAGAAGGUGAUUAUAUUUUCGGUGUGAUCCACGUGGACGAGAGGUGUUGCAUGUUUUUACAAAUUGAAGAUCUGUGACAACCCUGGGUCAAGCAAGUCUAUCAGUGCCAUUCUUCCAACUCGUUAGUAUACUCACUUUGCAGACGAGGAGACUGAGUCCUGGAGUAGGUGUAUAUGCUGGAGCAGCUGUACUUAAGUCCAGAAAUAAGAAGAUAUUUGAUCUGAGGACUCAGGAGAGAGCAUGGCUGCUGCAUAGAUGGUGCCUUCCAUCGCUUGACAUAGGGAAGCCCAGCCAAAGCCUGUGUCUUGGGCAGCCGGGGAGCUCUCAGGAUGGCUUGAAAUCUCCCACAUGGCCUGGGCCUGUUCUCCUUCCCCUCCAGCUCUCCUGGGUGCAGUCAAAGCUUCACUCCCUACACCCUACUGAACUAUCAGCUGACUGAUUCCCACUUGUCCAUGCCCCAGGACCCCACAGAAGCUCCACAUGCUUCCACAAGCUGAUGCACCAGUUCCAAGAGGAGGAAGAAAAGCUGGCACUCAGCCUUUAUUUCUCCCCAAACACCACAGUCAUUCAAUUCUGAAAAAAAAAAAAAAAAAAAAACCCAUUGCUUUGAAAAACAUAAAAUGAGAUCUAUCAAACAGCAUCUUGUAUUUUAAAGUGGAAAGAAUGGACUUUGGAAUCAUCUUUGGCAGCUAAUAGGCUGGGACACGCAGAGAAAGAGCUUGCCUGCCUCUGCAGACAUUCCUUGGACGAGUGGUUCUAAAUCCCAGCUACACACUCAAAUAGCUGCAGGAGGUUUAAAAACUGUCAAAUCUCCCAGCCCCUGCCCAGCCCAGUCAAUAUUUAUCUCAGGAGGAGGAGCCCUAAAACCAGUGUCUUUUCACAGAGCUCCCUACAUGACUUUGAUGUGUGGCCAGGUGAUAUCUCCUGAGUUCGGAGACACUGAUGCUAUCACUCACACCUAGUCAAAUGAGAGGAGUCGGGGAUGACAGAAGAAUGCAGGCAACUUACCUACCUGAAGCUGGGGCCUCAAGGUCACCAUGCCCUUGAGUGAGCCCUGUAUGGGUCUACCUUGUGUCUGAUGGUUCUCAGCAGGCACAGCUUCUCUUCAGGGCUUCUGCCGACAUCUUCCCUGCAUGUGGAAAAUGGCCUGGGGUCCCCUUAGACUCAGCUCAUGUCCUCCCCUUUGCUCAGGUUCCCUCUGAGUCCCGGUACCCGCCCAUGCUGCAGACCUCCUCAUGACUCCUUCCUCCCUGAGGCCUGGCCAUCUGCACACCCCCAUCCUAUCCUGUCAGCUUGUUUUUUGUCUCUUUGGUGACCAGACAUGAACCCCUCAAGGCUGUUCCCUCCACAUCCCCAGCGCUCAGUUUCAGGCCAGCCCAGGGCAGGAUGCACCUCGUGCAGACCAAGGGAAAGAGCCAGCAGCUGCUUCACAUGAGCCUGUCCUCUGCACCUGAAGAGAAUCUUUGGAAGGCCAGCGCCCCCACUUGUCCUGAAGGUGGAGGGGCUGUUCCCUCUAGCCCACACCUGUCAUUCUAGGACUAACUUUCACUUUUUGGAAGCCAGAGCCACUCCCGACCAUUCAGGGCCUUUCAGCAUUCGGAAGGGACAGUGACUCCUCCUUAGAUACCACAUGUAGGACAGGAGGGAAGUUCAAGAGUGGUGUCAAGGGCCAGAGACAGGGAAGCUGGGGGGUCUGAAAGAAGCUUCCAGGAGAUGUCUUCACUGCAAAAUACCAUACACCAAGGGGCUACAGGCUAAAACAAGACAUGUAUUUCUCACAGUUCUGGAGGUUGGGUGUUGGGGAUUAAGGUGCCAGCCAGCAUGGUGGGUCCCUGGUGAGGACUCUCUUCCUGGCUCACAGGUAGCCGACUUCUCACUGUGUCCUCACAUGUGGGAAAGAAAGCUCUGGUCUCUUCAUCCCCUCGUAAGGACUAAUCCCAUCAUGGAGGCACCACCUUCAUGACCCCAUCUAACCGUAAUUACCUUCUAAAGGCACCACCUCCCAUAAUAUCACCCUGGGGCUUGGGGCUUCAACAUAUGGAUUUGGGGGAACACAGACAUUCAGUCCAUAGCAAGGCACAUGGGGAAGUUGGAGCAUGAGAGCAGAGGAGACACCCACACAUCUCAGGAGAGCAGUCACGUGUUCGGAGGAUGUCAAGCCACGCUGAAGGCCCCUAGCCAUGCUGGGGAGAGCAUGCUCUAGCCAUGGAGUUGAAGAUGAGGUGGGAGUUGCCCUUGAGACCUUUCAUCUAGGACCUCCCAAGUUCCAUGAAGAGACAAGAGAAAACAGUAAGGGCACUGUAUUCAAGGGAAUGAGGGGUGAUGAGUCCCUCUUGGGUUCCUCAGUAAUGUCUUCCAGGACAGUCCAUUGAUUACACCUCUGCACCAGUCAGCGGACUUUUAGUGAGCCCUGGUAAUGUGCCAGAUGCUGUGCUGUGAGUGAGAUGUGCACAUUUCCUUCCUCGUGGAGCUCACACUCUCAUGGGGCAGACACACAAUCACACAAUCGCACACAUGUGCAGUGUGCAGAGCCUCCCUACAGGCUGGCCCGUGCCUUCCAGCUGCAUUCACCUGAUAGGAGGGCCAGCUGGAGACCAGAGGCUGGAGGCAGCCAGGGAGGAAUGUGGGCACUGGUUUUCUGACUCCCUGCCCGCUGCAUUCUCUGCAGCAGGCCCAGUUCCCGCCCAGCCCCCAUGCUGCACAAGGUUCUGAGAAUCACUCCUGCCCCCACUCCAUCAGGUCCCACUUAAGGUAGCUCCACUGGCUUAGAGGACCACCCCACCCCAGGGGCUUCACCUAAACCAGUCACACUUUGUAGACAGUCCCCUCAUUGAACUCUGAUCAAAUUACCCAAUUUAAAUAUACCAUCUGUUUCCCGCAGGGACUCUGACUGACCCAGUGACCUAGUCUAGGAGGUUAGGGAGUCUUCUGAGAAAAGGAUGCUUGAGCUGAACUCUGAAGGAUUAAAUUCUCACUGCUUUUAAUAGUAGGAUCCAACAUGUGUGUUUAGUCAGUAGUGGGGGUCCUGGUAAGCUUGAGCCUGCAGUGAGGGGUGCUGCAGGGGACACAGGCGAACCCAUGAAGCCCCUCACCCCACCUCUUAGCCAUGCCUGGCCAGGGAGGGCAUCCCUAGACCCAGGCUCAGCUAUAAGAAAGAGCAAGAACCAACAAACAUUUCUUAAGCACCACUCCGGGGCCAGGCCGUGUGCUGGGCCUGAACGCUUCUCAUAGGUGACGUGGAGACCUGGGGGUGGCUGCCAUCUGGUGCUCUGGGUUUUGAGGGGUGCUCUCUGAAAGACCAAGCUGAGCAGCAGGAGGCCCAGAAAUGGGGGCUCCCAUUAGACAUUGUGGCCAGUCUCACAGCACAGCCAGAAGGGCCAGCACUGCAGGGAGGGGAGCAGAGGGGAGGAUGUGCUCUUUGGCCAGGCGAAAGCCUGGUCCCCAGGACUGAGGUCCUAGAGAAUCAGGGAUGCAGGAGAAUGAUGAAGAGAGAGGUCUCAAGGCCAAAGACAAUAAGGUGAACUGUCAGAAAGUCUGGGAGAAAGAUGAUUUGAGGGUGACCCGAGAGGCUUGCUGUCAAAUGUCCCAAGAUCGGACAGUCGAGCAAGGCAGCAUGAUGGAAGGAAUCUAGCCCUGUCCAUCCACAUAAGCCCAAUUGCAAGUGCACUGUUGGAGUCAUGAAAAAUGUAAUGUCUAGUUCUGGUGUGAGCAGGGCCACUCUCUUCCAAAGAUACUCCCAUGGGAACAGAAAAAAAGGGUAGAAGCCCGAAGAGCCAUAAAAGGCAGCAAGGUCAGGAAGCCACCAGAAUGUCAGUGAGAUGUUUAAUUUUGAAAAUCAAUUAAUGUAAUGUGUCAUAUCAACAGAUCGAAGGGAGAAAGUCCAUGCUCAGGUUUAUAGAUGCAAAGAUCUGUUUGAUAAAAUUCAACAUCCACUCAUGACUUAAUAAAGAAACAAAACCUAUGGCAAAUCACAUGUAAAAGUGUUUAAGAUAUUCCCUUUAAUAUCAGAAAAGUGGCAAGAAUGCCUUCUUUUAUCUUUUCAAUGCUGUAAUGCAUUAAAGGGCUUAGGCAGUGCAAUAAGAAGAAAAAAGAAAUAAAAGAGAGAUUGGAAAGCAAUAAUCAAAGCUGUCAUUAUUUGAGGCAGAUAGAUAAUUGAAAGUACCUCUGAUUGGUUGCAGCAGACAAUCAGAUGUUUGCAUAGAGUAAGUUUGUAACUUCAGCCUCUGGUUGCUUUCCAAAACAAUUAGACUGAUUGCCGGCCACCACUUCAUUUACAUGGGGUGAACACCAAGUGGCCAAUGGGAAACCUCUAGGGGAUAUUUGGACCCCGGAAGAUACUGUAACCGAGGCCCUUGAGCUGCUGCUCUGGCCCACUCCCACCCUGUGGCAUGUACUUUCAUUUUCAAUAAAUUUCUACUUUUGCUGCUUCAGUCUUUCCUUGCUUUGCUGUGUGUUUUGUUCAAUUCUUUGUUCAAAACACCAAGAACCUAGACAACUUGCAGUCGAUACCCUCUACAGUUAACAAGCUGGGGAAUGCUCCUUCCAGGGUCCCAAGGUCCUUGCCUGGCUGAGCUUCUGGUGGCUGCCAGCAUUCCUCGGCUUGUGGCCGCAUCACUCCAUUCUCCAUCUCCAUGGUCACAUCACUUCUUUUCUGUCUGUUUUCAGCCUCCCUCUGCCUCUCUUAUAAAGACAUUUGUGAUGCAUUUAGGGCAUACCUGGUUACUACAGGAUAAUCCCCCUUAUCAAACUCCUUAACCUAAUCACAUCUGGAAUACAUUGUUUUUGCCUAGAAAUUCAUAUUCACAGGUUGCAGGGGUUAGGACCUUCUCAGGCACCAAAUGAUAAGAAAUCAUCUUUCUGAGUAACCCACAUGGAGUGGC